UGAAAGCAUCUAAGCACGAAACUUGCCCCGAGAUGAGUUCUCCCUGAGACUUUAAGUCUCCUGAAGGAACGUUAAAGACGAUGACGUUGAUAGGCCGGGUGUGUAAGCGCAGCGAUGCGUUGAGCUAACCGGUACUAAUGAACCGUGAGGCUUAACCUUAC
RNAcentral lists this ribosomal RNA (161 nucleotides) under Klebsiella pneumoniae subsp. pneumoniae KPNIH8. RNAcentral's name for it is "partial 23S ribosomal RNA". It matches the Rfam family "Bacterial large subunit ribosomal RNA", at positions 2772 to 2925 of the family's 2925-position model. The record is from RNAcentral. Lineage: Bacteria; Pseudomonadati; Pseudomonadota; Gammaproteobacteria; Enterobacterales; Enterobacteriaceae.